Molecule: ribosomal RNA, 497 nt
Filed under: uncultured bacterium
Lineage: Bacteria
Description: partial 16S ribosomal RNA
Rfam family: Bacterial small subunit ribosomal RNA
Source: RNAcentral
GACGAACGCUGGCGGCGUGCCUAAUACAUGCAAGUUGAGCGCUGAAGGUUGGUACUUGUACCAACUGGAUGAGCAGCGAACGGGUGAGUAACGCGUGGGGAAUCUGCCUUUGAGCGGGGGACAACAUUUGGAAACGAAUGCUAAUACCGCAUAAAAACUUUAAACACAAGUUUUAAGUUUGAAAGAUGCAAUUGCAUCACUCAAAGAUGAUCCCGCGUUGUAUUAGCUAGUUGGUGAGGUAAAGGCUCACCAAGGCGAUGAUACAUAGCCGACCUGAGAGGGUGAUCGGCCACAUUGGGACUGAGACACGGCCCAAACUCCUACGGGAGGCAGCAGUAGGGAAUCUUCGGGAAUGGACGAAAGUCUGACCGAGCAACGCCGCGUGAGUGAAGAAGGUUUUCGGAUCGUAAAACUCUGUUGGUAGAGAAGAACGUUGGUGAGAGUGGAAAGCUCAUCAAGUGACGGUAACUACCCAGAAAGGGACGGCUAACUACGUG